RNAcentral lists this small RNA (908 nucleotides) under Pan troglodytes (chimpanzee). RNAcentral describes it as "processed transcript". The record is from RNAcentral. Lineage: Eukaryota; Metazoa; Chordata; Mammalia; Primates; Hominidae.
ACUGUAGGAAUUAGUCAUGGCCAAGUUCAAGCCAUAGCUUGCCCCGCAGCUCUGUCGGGGCCUCUUUCGUGACAGUGUGGAGCGCUAGGGCAGCUUUGUGGACACCGUGACUCUUUGUUUUGUGGCCUUGGUGCUGACUUCAGAGUAUGAGGCACCUUCGAGGGUGGGGCUACAAUCUCAGCUUCUGGACAUUCCUUUUUUAAAACAUGGAGCCAAGGCCUGUGACCUGAGGCCCCUGUGUCCCUGCAAGUCUCCUUCCUGGCUCUGUGUAUGAGCACAGCCUAAGCUCACUUUAGUGCCAAGGAGGCUGGGGACCUGUCUACACUCUUCGAUGUUGGUGGCAUCAUAGAUGUUCCUGUACAACUACAUUGGCCAGGACGGGAUUGCCAGCUCCAUAGUGAUGCUGAUCAUCUGUGGGGGCCUGGUCAAUGGCCCAUACGCGCUCAUCACCACUGCUGUCUCUGCUGACCUGGGGACUCACAAGAGCCUGAAGGGCAACGCCAAAGCCCUGUCCACGGUCACGGCCAUCAUUGACGGCACCGGCUCCAUAGGUGCGGCUCUGGGGCCUCUGCUGGCUGGGCUCAUCUCCCCCACGGGCUGGAACAAUGUCUUCUACAUGCUCAUCUCUGCCGACGUCCUAGCCUGCUUGCUCCUUUGCCGGUUAGUAUACAAAGAGAUCUUGGCCUGGAAGGUGUCCCUGAGCAGAGGCAGCGGCUCUAGUAUGGUCCUAACCCACCAGUGAUAGUAUUUUCCUCAAGUCCCAUGACUUUUGUGAGUAUUUACUUCGAGUCUGUGACUCGAGUGCCAUUUGAGUGGGGGCUGCAUGCAAAUCCUCUGUCCUGCAGUAUGACUUUUUCCAACUUUCUCUUUCUUCUUGUGGGCCAGUUGUAAAGACUUUCAACCUCAGC